GACAGAGGUGCCAAGCGUUAGGCGGAAUCACUGGGCUUAAAGCGUGUGUAGGCGGAUCGUUAAGUACCUUGUGAAAUCCCACGGCUCAACCGUGGAACUGCUCGGUAUACUGGCGGUCUUGAGCCAUCUAGGGGCUGUCGGAACAAAUGGUGGAGCGGUGAAAUGCGUAGAUAUCGUUUGGAACGCCAAAGGUGAAAACAGACAGCUGGGGAUGUGCUGACGCUGAGACACGAAAGCCAGGGGAGCGAACGGG
Molecule: ribosomal RNA, 253 nt
Filed under: uncultured prokaryote
Description: partial 16S ribosomal RNA
Rfam family: Bacterial small subunit ribosomal RNA
Source: RNAcentral